AUUUUAUGAUUCACUAUAUAAACCAUGGAGUGAAAAUAUCAAGACUGAAGUAUACAAAGGUGAAUUUAAAAGUUUUAUACUGUGAAAUUCCAUAAUACAAAAUUUUGUUUACCUCGAAAAACUUUACAAUGUUCCAAGAUUUUUUUUCUUUGAAAAAAAUCAGAAUGUCUUUCAAAUUACUAUCAGAAGGAAUUAAUUAGGGAUUAGAGGGGGGAAAAUGGCAACUUGCAACAUGACAACAUCUAUUAAAUAUAUAUUUUAUAUGUAGUAUGUGUAUAUAUGAAAUACCUAUAAAUAAAACAAGAAAUAAUCAACCAUAUAGAAAGUAAAAAAGACAUUUCAUUACAAAAUCAGUAAAAUUUGGAGAUAGAAAGCCAGAAACUUACAUUUGGUUACAACUUGAUAUUUGGUUAUAGAAUUAGAACUGUAUGUGUAAAUGGCCUCUUUAAAAAAAGAAACAGAAACUUUAGUUAAGGAAAAGUCCAUGGUGAAAUCUUUCAAUAUGAAAAAUUUUUAAAUUCAGGUUUUUAUUGACUGAAUUUAUAUACAGAAUAGAUUGAAAUCUUUCUGUUGAUAGCAUCAGAAGGAUUGGCAAGAACAAAAGCUUUUUGAGAUCUAGUUAUAACAUAAGCCAAUUUUCCUCCCAGCCAGGUAUUACAAUGGAUAAAGCAUUGGGCCUGGAGUCAGGAAGACCCGAGUUCAAAACCUGCUUCAGACACUAGCUGUGUGAGCCUGAGCAAAUCACUUAGCUUGUCUGCUUGAGUUUGUUUCCUCAAGUGUUGGGUGAAUAUAAUAACAGCACCUUCCAGGGCUAUUGGGAGGAUCAAAUGAGAUAUUGCAUGUAACAUAUUUAACAUCCUUAAGAAAUGCUUCAUUUCUUCCUUUAAAAAAAAAAAAAAAGAUCUACUUGUCAAAUCAAGCAGAUACUGCCAUUUCUUGCCAGGAUGGGAAAGAUAAAAGAGAUUUUCCUUUUGGCCAAGAAACCACAUUUUCAAAUAUUCAAGUUUUUUGCCCAACAGGAUCUACUUCUUUAUACGAUCUGAUAUUUAAAAGAUUUAAUAGUCACUCCUCCAGAGUUUAAUCGUUUUAUCAUUUUCUAAUGCAGCUGAUGCAAUUAUGUUUUCUGUGGGGUGACAAGCUGUGGAGAUUACAACAUCUGUAUGACCUUGUAAUUUCUGCACAAUCUCUUUUGUCUGAAGGUUCCAAAUGUAAACAAGAUUAUCUUCUGAUCCGGACACAAUCCAUUUUCCACCAGUGACUAAAAAGUUUGCAAAAAUACAGUAUUUCUCAUUCUUGUGACCAGUGUAUGUCUUUAGGCACCUCCCCUUGCUGUAGUCCCAUAGCUUAAGAAGGUUAUCCAGAGUUGCCGUAAGAAUGUAUUUACCAUUCGGAGAGAAUUUUACAAAAGACACAAGAGGAUUAUCAUCACCAAUAAGAGUUUUUAAACAUUGACCUGACGCAGUAUCCCAGAUUCGGCAGAGACCAUCAUAACUACUCGACACAAUCAAAGAUCCGUCACUAUUAAAAUGCACAGCUGUUACUGGGUCGGAGUGAGCCGGCAAAGUCUUGAGGCACUUUCCUGUUUUCACAUCCCAUAUCCUUAUGCUUUCAUCAAAAGAGCCGGAAACGACGAGGUUGGAUAGGGGAUUGAAGCUACAGCAAAAGACGUAAUUACUGUGUCCCUUCAGGGUUUUUAGACAUUUUCCCGAGCUCACAUCCCAGAUUUUAAGAGUUUUAUCAUCUGAGGCAGACACAAGAAGGUUGGAAUCUGAAGACCAGGCAACAUCAGAGAUUUCUAGUUUGUGCCCAGAUAUAGUUUUCUCACAUUUUCCAUCAUAUGCUCCCCAAAUUUUAAUGAGCUUAUCAGCAGAAGAACUCGCUAACCAUUCUCCAUUGGGGCUAAAUUUUACCGAAGAUACAGCUUUUGUAUGCCCCACUAAUGUAAAUUUUAAUGUGUAGUUUGGAUUGGGAGGUGCAAGCUUGCUUUGAUUGGUGGAUGAAGGUGUUUGCUGUGUUCUCGGGGCUUCGGUCUCGGGUUGCUUUUCUGUAGCCAUGAGCAAGUCUGACGUGGGGUGCUUAAGGGCGAUUGGGCUGAAUGAAGGCACGGUUCCUAGCAGGAGGCUUCUCUGCAAAAAGGAAACUUGCUUUUGGGAAGUUUGUUCUCACCUCCGUUAGAUUCCGCUGCAGGGAUCGGGGCGAAACUUCCCCAGGUCUGGAGGGGAUCCCCAACUCGGAGCAGUUUAGGAGAAGACGGAAGCAGCACACAAAAGCUCCUCCUCCAGGCACCACGCCAAUAAUCUCUAGCUCUCCCUGGCUCAGCCACACUCGCUUGUUAUUCAGUAAACCGAUUUUUAAAGCGAAGACCAUUGUUCCUCAUUAAAUCUGGUCCUUUCUCCGCUCCCCAUUUACUGAUUCUUUGGCUUCUUUUAAGUCCCAACUAAAAUCGUAUUUUCUUCAAGGUUUCUUCAACCCCACUUAAUUCCAGUAACUUCUCUUUUGUUA
Molecule: long non-coding RNA, 2502 nt
Filed under: Sarcophilus harrisii (Tasmanian devil)
Lineage: Eukaryota; Metazoa; Chordata; Mammalia; Dasyuromorphia; Dasyuridae
Description: lncRNA (ENSSHAG00000031529.1)
Source: RNAcentral